AAGUCGUAACAAGGUUUCCGUAGGUGAACCUGCGGAAGGAUCAUCAGUGUAUCUGGUUAUCUCACCCUUUGUGCCGUGUCCUUGCGGUGGGUUCGCCGCAUGUUUUUUUAUUAUUAUUGCAUAUGCAACGCCUGAGCCUGAUCUGUCGAUUUUAAGAACACACACACAACUUUUAACAACGGAUCUCUUGGUUCUC
RNAcentral lists this unclassified non-coding RNA (196 nucleotides) under fungal sp. Its description in RNAcentral is "partial internal transcribed spacer region". The stretch from base 1 to 46 matches the Rfam family "Eukaryotic small subunit ribosomal RNA", at positions 1786 to 1831 of the family's 1831-position model. Lineage: Eukaryota; Fungi. The record is from RNAcentral.